Molecule: ribosomal RNA, 501 nt
Filed under: uncultured bacterium
Lineage: Bacteria
Description: partial 16S ribosomal RNA
Rfam family: Bacterial small subunit ribosomal RNA
Source: RNAcentral
AUUGAACGCUGGCGGCAGGCUUAACACAUGCAAGUCGAGCGGAGAUGAGGUGCUUGCACCUUAUCUUAGCGGCGGACGGGUGAGUAAUGCUUAGGAAUCUGCCUAUUAGUGGGGGACAACAUUCCGAAAGGAAUGCUAAUACCGCAUACGUCCUACGGGAGAAAGCAGGGGAUCUUCGGACCUUGCGCUAAUAGAUGAGCCUAAGUCGGAUUAGCUAGUUGGUGGGGUAAAGGCCUACCAAGGCGAAGAUCUGUAGCGGGGCUGAGAGGAAGAUCCGCCCCAAUGGGAAUGGGAACCGGCCCCGACUCCUACGGGGGGCAGCAGUUGGGAAUAUUUGACAAUGGGGGAAACCCUGAUCCAGCCAUGCCGCGUGUGUGAAGAAGGCCUUAUGGUUGUAAAGCACUUUAAGCGAGGAGGAGGCUACUGAGACUAAUACUCUUGGAUAGUGGACGUUACUCGCAGAAUAAGCACCGGCUAACUCUGUGCCAGCCGCCGCUGUAA